UUCUUAUCAAGAGAGACGGAGGGACUGGCCCUAAGAUGUCUCAGCAACCAGCCGAUCUGGUCAGGUGCUAAAUCCAUCAAGUCCAUGACUUGAGAGAUAAGGA
Molecule: non-coding RNA, 103 nt
Filed under: Halalkalibacter wakoensis
Lineage: Bacteria; Bacillati; Bacillota; Bacilli; Caryophanales; Bacillaceae
Also listed under: 1 other name
Description: Bacillus wakoensis SAM-I sequence
Rfam family: SAM riboswitch aptamer (S box leader)
About the family: The SAM riboswitch is found upstream of a number of genes which code for proteins involved in methionine or cysteine biosynthesis in Gram-positive bacteria. The SAM riboswitch acts at the level of transcription termination control. The predicted structure consists of a complex stem-loop region followed by a single stem loop terminator region.
Source: RNAcentral